GGUUCGAUUCCGGAGAGGGAGCCUGAGAAACGGCUACCACAUCCAAGGAAGGCAGCAGGCGCGCAAAUUACCCAAUCCAGACAUUGGGAGGUAGUGACGAGAAAUACUGGGGGCGCUCAAUGAGUGCCAUCCGGAAUGAACGUAACACAAAAAAUUCGAUGAGGAUCUACUGGAGGGCAAGUCUGGUGCCAGCAGCCGCGGUAAUUCCAGCUCCAGUAGUGUAUAUCAACAUUGUUGCGCUUAAAACGCUCGUAGUUGGAUUACAGGGCUCAAAAGAGUGAUGUUCGCAAGAGCAGUGACUCGUGGUCGGGUGAGAAAUUGGCUGACCGCCGAGCCCUUUAUCGCACUGGUGCUGUAGUUGAUCUUUACUGGUCGCUGCAGUAGCCGGUGGAGUGUGCCUUGAAUAAAGCAUGGUGCUCAAAGCAGGCGUACGCUCGUGUGUAAUAGCAUGGAACGAAUAUGAAUGAUCGGGCCGGUGUAUGUGGUGGUGAAAUAGGCCAGUGCAAUGCCGGGCGCGACUCCCGUUGUGUUGGUUGGAGUCACGGUCUCAACGAUUAAAAGGGACAACUGAGGGCACUAGUAUUUUGUGGCGAGAGGUGAAAUUCUUAGACCCACAAAGGACUGACUACUGCGAAAGCAUUUGCCAAGAUUGCUUUCAUUGAUCAGCCGAGCUAAGGUCAGAGGAUCGAAGACGAUCAGAUACCGUCCUAGUUUUGACAGCAAACUAUGCCAGCAUAGGGUUGGGGCGGUCGUUCAGGGGGAAAACCUUGACGAACCAUCUCAGGCCUUAAGGGAAACCAAGCUUUCGGGCUGCUGGGAGAAUAUCGCUGCAAGGCUGAAAUUUAAAGAAAUUGACGGAGAGGCACCACCAGGAGUGGAGCCUGCGGCUUAAUUUGACUCAACACGGGGAACCUCACCAGGUCCAGACAUUGGCAGGAUUGACAGACUGGUAGAUCUUUCAUGAUUCAGUGGAUGGUGGUGCAUGGCCGUUCUUAGUUGGUGGAGUGAUCUGUCAGGUCUAUUCCGGUAACGAGCGAGACCACGGCCUUUAGUUUGUUGUUGGCUGGCCCAAUGACACUAGAGGGACUAUUGGUGUUGAAACCAGGGGAAGCGUGGCAAUAACAGGUCUGUGAUGCCCUUCGAUGUCCUGGGCUGCACGCGCGCUACAAUGGCAGCAGCAAAUAGUGUCGACUAGCCAGAGAUGGUCGGUCAAACUGUAAAUAGCUGUCGUGAUAGGGAUUGGGCCUUGCAAUUGUUGCCCAUGAAAGAGGAAUUCCUCGUAAGCGCCGGUCAUCAGCCGGUGUUGAAUACGUCUCUGCCUCUUGUACACACCGCCCGUCGCUACUACCGAUUGAAUUGCUUCUAAAGCUGGCUGGACUGUCUGUGCAAGUCGCUUGCAUGUGUG
This 1405-nucleotide ribosomal RNA is filed under the name Ceratomyxa choerodonae. Its description in RNAcentral is "SSU rRNA". It matches the Rfam family "Eukaryotic small subunit ribosomal RNA", at positions 374 to 1749 of the family's 1831-position model. Lineage: Eukaryota; Metazoa; Cnidaria; Myxozoa; Bivalvulida; Ceratomyxidae. The record is from RNAcentral.